Molecule: ribosomal RNA, 89 nt
Filed under: Pseudidiomarina tainanensis
Lineage: Bacteria; Pseudomonadati; Pseudomonadota; Gammaproteobacteria; Alteromonadales; Idiomarinaceae
Description: Idiomarina tainanensis partial 16S ribosomal RNA
Rfam family: Bacterial small subunit ribosomal RNA
Source: RNAcentral
UUAAACUGAAGAGUUUGAUCAUGGCUCAGAUUGAACGCUGGCGGCAGGCCUAACACAUGCAAGUCGAGCGGUAACAGAGAGUAGCUUGC